CAGUCGCCGCGGGAAUACAGAGGGUGCAAGCGUUAAUCGGAAUUACUGGGCGUAAAGCGCGCGUAGGUGGUUUGUUAAGUUGGAUGUGAAAUCCCCGGGCUCAGCCUGGGAACUGCAUCCAAAACUGGCAGGCUAGAAUCUGGCAGAGGGGGGUAGAAUUCCACGUGUAGCAGUGAAAUGCGUAGAUAUGUGGAGGAACACCGAUGGCGAAGGCAGCCCCCUGGGCUAAGAUUGACGCUCAUGCACGAAAGCGUGGGGAGCAAACAGGAUUAGAUACCCCGGUAGUCCCUGUCUUUUAUAC
Molecule: ribosomal RNA, 301 nt
Filed under: uncultured bacterium
Lineage: Bacteria
Description: partial 16S ribosomal RNA
Rfam family: Bacterial small subunit ribosomal RNA
Source: RNAcentral